UCGAAUUCGUCUAAGUUUAUUGGUUCCACUGGAGAUUCUUCUUUAACGUCUUCGUCGUCAUCGUCGAGCUGGGUUAUUCGGAGGCCUUUGAAAUCGUCUCCGUUGAAGCUGCUCAUCGCUAAAGGUUUUGACUUUAUGAGUUGAGUUGUUGAAAAUGAACCAAGGGGGGUGAUUCUAGGGUUUUACUAAUUGCUGCUAUAAACCUCCACUCCAUCUUUCACGAAGAAGACGAUGAAGUUAGAAAAACCUAGACGGAAACGACGUCGUAAUGUUUAGGCCCAUCAUAGUAUACGCCCAUUAAUGGUUUGCAGUUAACAGAAUAACUUUAGAGAAUCUCCGAUGUAAAACUCCAUUUUCUUCUUAUAAAUGGAGUAAAAGUGAAAAUGAAGUAAAAUUGCUCCAAUCCUAUUCCAUUUCCCACUCCAUAAUGGAGUGAUGAACAAACAAAAAAUAGUUUACUCUAUUUAUGGAGUAAAUUUCAUUAUGGAGUGAGAUAUAAAAUUGGGUUGGAGCAUUUCUUAUUCCAUAUUCACUUUUACUCUAUUUUAAAGGAAAAAAUAGAGUAGGGAAUGCCCUUAGCCACUCAUAGUCCUCAGCAUAAUAUCAUAAACCCGAAAAACCAAAUCAGAACCAAAUUAAAAAACUGAAACCGAAACUGAAUUGAAAAUUACAAAAAUCCAAAUGGUUCUUAUAUUUCUAAAUCUGCAAAACGAAACCGAAUCGGAUCGAACCGAAAAUCAAAUAUUUUGAAUAUAUUAAAAAUAUUAAUUAUUUUUAAUUUUAAUAUCUCUAAAAUAUAAUUUAUAAAUAAAAAUAUCUAAAAUACUCAAACUACCCGAAAUUAUUUUCGUUUUUUUUUUCUGGAUUUAACUCAAGUUUUCGGAAUUUUUUGGUUUUUAAGAUUUAUAAUUUAUAAUUAUGUUUACUUCGGAUUUUAUACAAAAUAGAAACCCAACCUGGAUUCGACAUUAUCUGAACCGAUCAAGAAAAUGUCCAGUUACUAAACAGUUCUUAAACACCUUAAUCCGGAUAAUCAAAAAACCGAAUAAACCGAGAACCGAAGACCGAGUGUCCGGCACCACUAGGCAGGGAGAAAAGUGUCUGCGUCACUGACUUCAAACGUCUACUCCACUUGAUUUCCCAAUAGGCCCAAUUAACAGCUAAAAGCCAAAUAACCUUCCGUCUUCGUUAAGUCUACAGCCACGCGCUAAACCAGAGAACGCUUUGCGAUUCAGAUUCAUUACUUUUCUUCCGACGACACAAGUCCGUGAAAUUCGAAGCUCAUAAAAACCCGAUCUCGUGUUUGGAGUUUGGUUUGGCUUUGAUGGCGACGAGGAACCGAACGACGGUGUACAGGAAACACAGAGAUGCCUGUAAGAGCGCGCGAGCUCCUUUAUCCGAUUCGUUCGGUGGUCCCGUGAUCGAAAUGGUUAGCGGCUCUUUUGCUCGGUCCAACCACUCCUCUUAUGCUCCUUUGAGCACCAAUGAUCCUGGUCCUUCAAGGUAGUUUCUGUGUUCUUGUUCUUUGAUGAUGCAAAAUUUGUUGAUGGGUUUGAAUAAAAAUGCAAACUUUCUUGAUGGGUUUGAAUAAAAUGCAAAAUUUGUUGAUGGGUUUGAAUAAAAAUGCAAACUUGAUGAUUGAAUCGAAUUGUUUCUUUAUGGGUAUGAAUAAAAAUGCAAACUUUAUUGUUAUUUGUGAAUGUUAUUGCAGUAGCAAUGAUGCCUUCACAAUUGGUCUGCCACCAGCUUGGGUGGAUGAUUCUGAGGAGAUCACUUUUAAUAUACAGAAGGUGAGAGACAAGAUGGGUGAGCUAGCUAAGGCUCAUUCAAAGGCUCUAAUGCCUACGUUUGGGGAUAACAGAGGGGAUCAACGUGCUGUUGAGAUGAUCACUCAUGAAAUCACCGAUCUGUUGAGGAAGUCAGAGAAGAGGUUACACAAUUUAUCUACUAGGGGAGGAGGGCCUUCAGAAGAAUCUAAUCUCAGGAAAAAUGUGCAGGUAAUUGCUGAACUUCUUUGAUAUUGAAAGCUUGUUAUGGAUAAGGAGUGUGUGACCAUGUAGAGAAUCUAUGAAUAUUCUAGAGGAAUUUGGGUUAAACUAUAUCUCAUAUGAGAAAAUAUUCUCAUUACCAUUCUAGUUGACAUUAUCACCAGUUAGGUUUAUUAUAUGUUCUGAGUUUGUAGCUUGAGGUUAAAGAUAUGUGUGCAUCUGUUAGUGGGGAUCUCUAAUGGACUUGACCUACGCGUUGACACACUGUUUUUUGACAGCGUUCUCUUGCAACAGAUCUUCAGAGCCUCUCCAUGGAGCUCCGCAGAAAACAGUCUACUUAUUUGAAACGUCUCCAGCAGCAGAAAGAGGUAUUUUACUUUUUUUUUCUUAGUAUAUGCAUGUUGUACCCUAAGUUGAUGCUCUUGUUUAUUUUUGGCUUCUCAAAUCAAAGGGUCAGGAUGGAGUAGAUUUGGAGUUUAACAUGAAUGGAAAGAUGUCAAGAAUGGAUGAAGACGAAGAACUCGGUGGCAUGGUAAGUUCUUAUAUAUCAUUGUAAUUAUCAAGCUAGAGCAGUUUAGUUUUCCUAAUCAAAUAUCAUUGCCUUCCCUUGACACUGUCUCAACAAAUUUAUAGGGUUUUGAUGAACACCAGACAGUCACGUUGAAGGAAGGGCAACAUGUCUCAGCGGAAAGGGAAAGNNNNNNNNNNNNNNNNNNNNNNNNNNNNNNNNNNNNNNNNNNNNNNNNNNNNNNNNNNNNNNNNNNNNNNNNNNNNNNNNNNNNNNNNNNNNNNNNNNNNNNNNNNNNNNNNNNNNNNNNNNNNNNNNNNNNNNNAAGAGUGUUCCUUUCUUUCUACCUCCGCAUAGGUUUCUCGGGGGCACGUUUCCAUUGUUCAUGUUGAUCACGGAGGAGACAAGACAUAGAUGGACACAUGAAGAGAAACAACGUCCGGUGAAAAGCUGAUUCCUUGUCCGUUAACGGAGCAUAAAGCUGCGACAUUUUUUUCCUCAAUUCCAUAAAUAAACCCCGACCAAACAACAUUUAAACAAAUACGAUAGUAUUUUUUUCUAGAAUUUUCACACAUUAAAUAACUAUCCUAAAUGCAUCAUUUUCAACAAUAGUAAUUCAACAACCUCAAUUCAUUUUCUUGAAGUCUACAAUUUUUUUACAGUAAACAUAAAAAUCUUAUUUUUUUCUGAAAAAUCUAAAAAAAAUCUUAUUUUUUUGAAAAAUCUUAUUUUUCUGAAAAAACUUAUUUUUCUAGAAAAAACUAUCUUAAUGAAAUUGGAGGAAUUAUAGUUUUGUAAUGAAAACUCAAACCUGAAGUACAAACUGGAGAGGCUCUUCACAUAAGUCACAUAGAAUAGACUUCCCUGAUGGUAAGUUAACUGGAUCCAACCACGCCUGUAUUAACCCAAAGAAUCAAAACCUAAGAACAUAAAAAGACAAGCUUUGGUUGAGAUUUGAGAAUAUUAAAAGAUUAUUACCGGAACACCGCCUGCUAAGUUAGGGAAGAGUUGUCUGAGACUUGACCAUGGGAACUUGGGACUCUCGACGAAACCCAAUAUCACAGGCUCUUCUUCGUCAUCUUCGUCGUCGUCAUCGAAUUCGUCUAAGUUUAUUGGUUCCACUGGAGAUUCUUCUUUAACGUCUUCGUCGUCAUCGUCGAGCUGGGUUAUUCGGAGGCCUUUGAAAUCGUCUCCGUUGAAGCUGCUCAUCGCUAAAGGUUUUGACUUUAUGAGUUGAGUUGUUGAAAAUGAACCAAGGGGGGUGAUUCUAGGGUUUUACUAAUUGCUGCUAUAAACCUCCACUCCAUCUUUCACGAAGAAGACGAUGAAGUUAGAAAAACC
RNAcentral lists this long non-coding RNA (3837 nucleotides) under Brassica napus (rape). Its description in RNAcentral is "long non-coding RNA (BNAP_LNC007239)". The record is from RNAcentral. Lineage: Eukaryota; Viridiplantae; Streptophyta; Magnoliopsida; Brassicales; Brassicaceae.